RNAcentral lists this transfer RNA (72 nucleotides) under Leptolinea tardivitalis. It matches the Rfam family "tRNA". From Rfam's summary of the family: Transfer RNA (tRNA) molecules are approximately 80 nucleotides in length. Their secondary structure includes four short double-helical elements and three loops (D, anti-codon, and T loops). Lineage: Bacteria; Bacillati; Chloroflexota; Anaerolineae; Anaerolineales; Anaerolineaceae. RNAcentral also lists the same sequence under 1 other name. The record is from Rfam by way of RNAcentral.
GCGGGCGUCGCCAAGUGGUAAGGCAUCAGCCUUCCAAGCUGACAUUCGCCGGUCCGAAUCCGGUCGCCCGCU